Molecule: non-coding RNA, 123 nt
Organism: Triticum urartu
Lineage: Eukaryota; Viridiplantae; Streptophyta; Magnoliopsida; Poales; Poaceae
Source: Rfam
AAGCUACUCCCUCCGUUCCGAAUUACUUGUCUUGGAUUUGUCUAGAUACGGAUGUAUCUACUCUAGAUACAUCCGUAUCUAGACAAAUCCAAGACAAGUAAUUCGGAAUGGAGGGAGUAUUUU